CCGGAUUCAUUGGGUUUUUAGGGUGCGUACGCGGCCUAUUGGUGCUGCGGUGUCCCCCGGCGUGUUAACUGCAGAACUGCCAUUGAUACUGAUAGCCUUGAGUUUGGGCUGGUAGGCGGAAUGUGUAAUGUAGCGGUGAAAUGCUUAGAUAUUAUGGGAACACCAAUUGCGUAGGCAUGUUACUGAUGCGACACUGACGCUGACGCACAAAAGCGUGGGGAUCGAACAGGAUUAAUACCCUGGUGAUCCACGCCGUAAACGAUGAUUACUCGCUGUUGGCGAUACACUGUCAGCGGCUAAGCAAAAGCAAUAAGUAAUCCACCUGGGGAGUACGGCCGCAAGGUUGAAACUCAAAGGAAUUGACGGGGGCCCGCACAAGCGGAGGAACAUGUGGUUUAAUUCGAUGAUACGCGAGGAACCUUACCUGGGCUUAAAUGUAGAGUGCAUUUUCUAGAGAUAGGAAUUCCCUUCGGGGCUUUCUGCAAGGUGCUGCAUGGUUGUCGUCAGCUCGUGCCGUGAGGUGUCGGGUUAAGUCCCAUAACGAGCGCAACCCUUAUCGUUAGUUGCCAUCUGGUAAAGCAGGGGACUCUAGCGAAACUGCCACCGUAAGGUGAGAGGAAGGUGGGGAUGACGUCAAAUCAGCACGGCCCUUAUGUCCAGGGCUACACACGUGUUACAAUGGUCGGUACAGAGGGCAGCUACCUGGUGACAGGAUGCUAAUCUCGAAAACCGGUCUCAGUUCGGAUCGAAGUCUGCAACUCGACUUCGUGAAGCUGGAUUCGCUAGUAAUCGCGCAUCAGC
RNAcentral lists this ribosomal RNA (801 nucleotides) under uncultured bacterium. RNAcentral's name for it is "bacterial SSU rRNA". It matches the Rfam family "Bacterial small subunit ribosomal RNA", at positions 545 to 1353 of the family's 1533-position model. The record is from RNAcentral.